Molecule: ribosomal RNA, 591 nt
Filed under: uncultured bacterium
Lineage: Bacteria
Description: bacterial SSU rRNA
Rfam family: Bacterial small subunit ribosomal RNA
Source: RNAcentral
UGAAACUCAAAGGAAUUGACGGGGGCCCGCACAAGCGGAGGAACAUGUGGUUUAAUUCGAUGAUACGCGAGGAACCUUACCCGGGCUCAAACGCUGAUAGACCGGUGUGGAAACACGCCUUCCCUUCGGGGCUGUCAGCGAGGUGCUGCAUGGUUGUCGUCAGCUCGUGCCGUGAGGUGUCGGCUUAAGUGCCAUAACGAGCGCAACCCCCAUCUUCAGUUGCCACCGCGUUAAGGGCGGGCACUCUGGAGAGACUGCCGGCGCAAGCUGUGAGGAAGGCGGGGAUGACGUCAAAUCAGCACGGCCCUUACGUCCGGGGCGACACACGUGUUACAAUGGCGGGGCACAGAAGGAAGCCAGGCGGCGACGCCGAGCCGAUCCCUAAAACCCGUCUCAGUUCGGAUCGGAGUCUGCAACCCGACUCCGUGAAGCUGGAUUCGCUAGUAAUCGCGCAUCAGCCAUGGCGCGGUGAAUACGUUCCCGGGCCUUGUACACACCGCCCGUCAAGCCAUGGAAGCUUGGAGUGCCUGAAGUCCGUGACCGCGAGGAGCGGCCAAGGGUAAGACAAGUGACUGGGGCUAAGUCGUAACA